Fukomys damarensis (Damara mole-rat) is the source of this 2246-nucleotide long non-coding RNA. RefSeq lists it as uncharacterized. The transcript is spliced from 8 exons. The record is from RefSeq and is a predicted model, not a curated record. Lineage: Eukaryota; Metazoa; Chordata; Mammalia; Rodentia; Bathyergidae.
AGCUCUUCCUCUCUCCUCUGAGAUCGUCCUGCUUCGCAUUGUCUCCGAGCUUUGCAGCUUUCGGCACAGCCAGCCUUAGAGUCAAGUUCCAUAGAAUGGAGUGAAGAAGUGUACACAAUGCUGCUGAGAUUCUCAGAGAGCUGGGCUCUCCCUGACUUUUACAGCUUGGAAAUUACGAAAAGCCCUUCUAAAUCUUGCAUUUCAUGGAGUUAGAAAUGCCUGCUGUUGGUCAUACAGAAGAUCUUCAAAGUGAGCUCUUUAGAGAGAAAUGUCAGAAGCAAAAAUAAAUUGUUGCAGGAUCAUUUUCUCCAGUAGCUUUUUUAACUGCAAAGAUACUUGGAAGUAAGCCCAUACAGCUUUUGGAUGUCGUGAGUUCCAGAAUGUCCUCCUCCAUUCCUGUGCCUUGUCACUGCCCUGCAUUGAUGUGUAUAGCCAUCAAGUCUGCGGCUCGCACUAAAUCAAACUUUCAGCUGUCAGUUGACAUUCUCCAAUUCAAGAUGAGAACCAAGCUCAGUGGAAAUUCACCAUUCUGAUGCCAGAAUAUGAUUAUCCUCCUCUGGAAGUUUUGCUUCUUGGGAAUUUCAUGGCCAAAGCAAAUCCAGAUCCCAGUGCACAGCCUGUCCAUCAAGACAGCUUUCAACAGCUCCCACAUCUGGAUGCUUCCUCAUUCACAACUGCAGAAGGAAGAAGAUAACUUUGAGCAGUUUCAGAACAGUCCUGAAAUUCAUUUUGAUUGGACAAGAAAAAGUCACAGAAAAAGCUACUUUUCCAGGCAGGCCAUAAGGCCUUGCUUGUUUCAGAGAGAUCAAAGAUCAUGAUGAUUACUUUCUUCUCCUUUCCGGAAGAUAAGAUGCUUUACUCUUUAAAGAAAAUGAAACGGAGUUUCUAGAAUGCAGGCAGCUUGGAUCCUCCAGGAAGGAGAUUGGGAGCUCCCUCUUUAGGAAAGCAAUGGUUAAACGGGAGCAGAAUCCAGUCUUCAUACUGUGAAUCACAAUAAUCAUCCACACCUCCCAGGAGCAAUGCACUCUCACUCAUCAAAUCCACGCCCCGUGUAAAGGGGCUCCAGGAGGCUGCAGGAGGGCCAGCACCUCCAAACAGGCUGGGUGAGGGGCUGCCAGGUGAUGAAUGGAUGCGUGUAGAACGAGGUAAUAAACCAGCACCCCAGCCAUGUAAUCUUCCAUUAAAAUGAAAUGCAUACCAGGCAUGUGGCUUUUCUGCAGCUCGUACCCUCUCCCAUAGAAGAUCAUGAAUAAAAGAGGAAAGUGUACCGCUGACAGACGCCAGCAUGCAUAAAGGACACUUCCUAUAAAGGCAAAGCUCCGGCUAACAGAUGGACUAAAGAUGUGAGCUGCAGAAAGAUUUACCAAUCUAAAUAAUUCAAGGGAAUGUCGUAUGGCACACUAGCGCUUUUGGAGGGAGCCAGCAGAAGGUGCAGAUGGAAAGGCAGGCCGAGCCUUUCCCAUAAACCCAUUACGAACAGUGCUUGUCUGAGCGACGGUAUGUCGCAGAAGGCCCAGGGAGAGGCCAGCAAAUGAGAAAUUUGCUUCUAGACUUUGUCCCACAAGGUCAAGAGCAUAUUUAAUAGUGAAGGUUGAAGCAUUCAUGAGACUGAAAAGGGGUGUUGUGUGUUCCAUUGCGCAUCCUCCUGCUUUCUUCGAAACUCUCCUCUCCUCAGAUUUUUGUCUUGUGAGCACUAAAAGCAUGGAAGGUGUUGUCAAAGAUCUUUGAGAGGUCUAUCAGGAAUCUUUUUAUUUCUCAGUCAGGCACAAGUUCUAAGCUCCAAAGCCAAAUUACAGGUGGGAACCUUGCUUUCAGUAACUAUUCCUUAGAAACAUAUAACUGUAUCUUCUGCCCUGGGGCUCUGUGGAUACUUGUUGUCCGUGCCUGCUCAUGUAAUCUUAAAUCCUAUACUUUGCAUAUUUGUGUACUUAACCUGGCUUGCAUAACCUAUUAUUUAUAUGCAACUUGACAAAAAGUCUCUUCCUCACCCACUGGGCCAUUGUCUAAACAGAUACUCAAUAAACACUUCUUGAUGAUGAAACUCUUUCAACAAAAAGGAGUCUUCCCUUAAGCGCCUCCACACCUGGCAGGACUGUGCCAAAAAGGUCAGCAGCCACAGCAAGAGAAGCUGUGAUAGGUGACAUCACACAGUGUGUUGCAGUACUGCUGACCCCGUCAGAGGAGAGCUAGUCCAUCCCAGCUUGCCUCUCAGGAGCUGGGACACCCACCCAAGGGUAAGCCUUUAC